This 178-nucleotide non-coding RNA is filed under the name Clostridiales bacterium. RNAcentral describes it as "6S RNA". It matches the Rfam family "6S / SsrS RNA". Rfam says of the family: E. coli 6S RNA was the first non coding RNA to be sequenced, but its function was unknown until recently. It consists of 184 nucleotides that fold into an extended hairpin structure with a large single-stranded internal bulge. Lineage: Bacteria; Bacillati; Bacillota; Clostridia; Eubacteriales. The record is from RNAcentral.
CCAAACCUGGGGUGCUGGUUAUGUUCCAUUUUUGACCCACACUUUGUAAAAGGGUUUUUGCGUCCGUCGGCUGGGAAUGCAGGCCAGAAUUUAUUUUGGAAGCACAAAGGCUGCGGCAGAUUACCCACCUGCCUAUGGCGGGUUACAAAAAGGGGCAGACGACACCUCCGGGGGUCAU